GAUGAACGCUGGCGGCGUGCCUAAUACAUGCAAGUCGAGCGAACAGACGAGGAGCUUGCUCCUCUGACGUUAGCGGCGGACGGGUGAGUAACACGUGGAUAACCUACCUAUCAGACUGGGAUAACUUCGGGAAACCGGAGCUAAUACCGGAUAAUAUAUUGAACCGCAUGGUUCAAUAGUGAAAGACGGUUUUGCUGUCACUUAUAGAUGGAUCCGCGCCGCAUUAGCUAGUUGGUAAGGUAACGGCUUACCAAGGCAACGAUGCGUAGCCGACCUGAGAGAGUGAUCGGCCACACGGGAACUGAGCCACGGUCCAGACGACUAAGAUAGGCAGCAGUAUCGAAUCUUCCGCAGUGGGCGAAAGCCUGACGGAGCAACGCCGCGUGAGUGAUGAAGGUCUUCGGAUCGUAAAACUCUGUUAUUAGGGAAGAACAAAUGUGUAAGUAACUAUGCACGUCUUGACGGUACCUAAUCAGAAAGCCACGGCUAACUACGUG
Molecule: ribosomal RNA, 497 nt
Filed under: uncultured bacterium
Lineage: Bacteria
Description: partial 16S ribosomal RNA
Rfam family: Bacterial small subunit ribosomal RNA
Source: RNAcentral